AGAGUUUGAUCAUGGCUCAGGACGAACGCUGGCGGCGCGCCUAACACAUGCAAGUCGAACGGAGUUAAGAGGAGCUUGCUUUUCUUGACUUAGUGGCGAACGGGUGAGUAACGCGUGAGUAACCUGCCUCAGAGUGGGGGACAACAGUUGGAAACGACUGCUAAUACCGCAUAAGACCACGGGGUCGCAUGGCCCUGAGGUAAAAGGAUUUAUUCGCUUUGAGAUGGACUCGCGUCCAACUAGCUAGUUGGUGAGGUAACGGCCCACCAAGGCGACGAUUGGUAGCCGGACUGAGAGGUUGAACGGCCACAUUGGGACUGAGACACGGCCCAGACUCCUACGGGAGGCAGCAGUGGGGGAUAUUGCACAAUGGGGGAAACCCUGAUGCAGCGACGCCGCGUGGAGGAAGAAGGUUUUCGGAUUGUAAACUCCUGUCGUAAGGGACGAUAAUGACGGUACCUUACAAGAAAGCCACGGCUAACUACGUGCCAGCAGCCGCGGUAAAACGUAGGUGGCAAGCGUUGUCCGGAAUUACUGGGUGUAAAGGGAGCGCAGGCGGACCGGCAAGUUGGAAGUGAAAACUAUGGGCUCAACCCAUAAACUGCUUUCAAAACUGCUGGCCUUGAGUAGUGCAGAGGUAGGCGGAAUUCCCGGUGUAGCGGUGGAAUGCGUAGAUAUCGGGAGGAACACCAGUGGCGAAGGCGGCCUACUGGGCACCAACUGACGCUGAGGCUCGAAAGUGUGGGUAGCAAACAGGAUUAGAUACCCUGGUAGUCCACACCGUAAACGAUGAUUACUAGGUGUUGGAGGAUUGACCCCUUCAGUGCCGCAGUUAACACAAUAAGUAAUCCACCUGGGGA
This 860-nucleotide ribosomal RNA is filed under the name uncultured bacterium. RNAcentral describes it as "bacterial SSU rRNA". It matches the Rfam family "Bacterial small subunit ribosomal RNA", at positions 8 to 879 of the family's 1533-position model. The record is from RNAcentral.